This 66-nucleotide transfer RNA is filed under the name Maccaffertium vicarium. Its description in RNAcentral is "tRNA-Gly". It matches the Rfam family "tRNA". Rfam says of the family: Transfer RNA (tRNA) molecules are approximately 80 nucleotides in length. Their secondary structure includes four short double-helical elements and three loops (D, anti-codon, and T loops). Lineage: Eukaryota; Metazoa; Arthropoda; Insecta; Ephemeroptera; Heptageniidae. The record is from RNAcentral.
ACCCGUUUAGUAUAAAAAGUAUGUUUGACUUCCAAUCAAAAGGUUUGAUUCUCUUCAAAACAGGUA